AUCAUUUCUCUGCUUUCUGGCUAAGAUCAAGCAUAAUAAAUGUUCUUAUCAGUUUAAUAUCUGAUACGCUCCCUAUCUGGGGGCCAUAUAUGAAAUGGAUUUUUAGCACAGGGAGAUGGAAGAAGAGCUUGCUCUGUCCACUCCACGCAUUGACCUGGUAUUGCAGUACUUCCAGGACCCAUGUACCUUUU
This is a small nuclear RNA of Pseudophryne corroboree (corroboree frog), 191 nucleotides long. RefSeq annotates it as U2 spliceosomal RNA. Lineage: Eukaryota; Metazoa; Chordata; Amphibia; Anura; Myobatrachidae. The record is from RefSeq and is a predicted model, not a curated record. The transcript has a single exon.